This is a long non-coding RNA of Dermacentor silvarum, 674 nucleotides long. RefSeq lists it as uncharacterized. The record is from RefSeq and is a predicted model, not a curated record. NCBI's taxonomy places the organism in Eukaryota, Metazoa, Arthropoda, Arachnida, Ixodida, Ixodidae. The transcript has 3 exons.
ACUGGCGUCGCUGCAAUCGCCGCGGUGUGACGUCACGGACAGGACUCCCCUGCUACGCCGCCGCCGUUCUCCUAGAUCCGCACCGUCCGCGCCCGCUUUUGUGUGAUACGAUGGUGACUUACUGCUCUGUUCCACAAUGUAAAUCUCGCAAAGAAGAUGGUGUAAGUUUUCACUACUAUCCAAAGUCGACGAAGCUAAAGAAAGUUUGGAUAGUAAAGCUUAGAAUGGGCAAGCUGCCGUCAAAACGCGCUGUCGUCUGCAGCAAGCACUUCUGGGAAGAGGAUUUUGUAUAUCCCGUAUACAAGACGCUAGGUUACAAGUACCGAAAGUUGUCGCCGGAAGCAAUUCCGUCCGUCAAUCUGCCUGUACGGCCACACGAUGCGAGGCGGCGUCUCGUGCGAGCGGCGAUGAGACGGCGUGAAAGAGGCGUUCCCAUACGCUCUUACCAGUUGCCACAGACAUCUUCCAUUCGCACUGAUGCUGUGGAAAAAUGCCAAGAUGGGGCAGACGAGAACUCGAGCAGCUCAAUGUUAGAACCAAUUGAUGCACCACUGGCCGACGAGACAGAACAAAUAGAGUGCUGUGGUACGUUUAUCUUUCAAGUAAUGCAAAUGUUCAUGUGCCAAAUUGUGUUGCAUGUGGGCCCUCAUGUCAUUUACUGUGAUGUAGAGUAC